RNAcentral lists this ribosomal RNA (460 nucleotides) under uncultured bacterium. Its description in RNAcentral is "partial 16S ribosomal RNA". It matches the Rfam family "Bacterial small subunit ribosomal RNA", at positions 338 to 795 of the family's 1533-position model. The record is from RNAcentral.
CCUACGGGAGGCAGCAGUGAGGAAUAUUGGUCAAUGGACGAGAGUCUGAACCAGCCAAGUAGCGUGAAGGAUGACUGCCCUAUGGGUUGUAAACUUCUUUUAUAAAGGAAUAAAACGAGGCACGUGUGCCUUUUUGCAUGUACUUUAUGAAUAAGGAUCGGCUAACUCCGUGCCAGCAGCCGCGGUAAUACGGAGGAUCCGAGCGUUAUCCGGAUGUAUUGGGGUUAAAGGGAGCGUAGAUGGGGUGUUAAGUCAGUUGUGAAAGUUUGCGGCUCAACCGUAAAAUUGCAAUUGAUACUGGCAGUCUUGAGUACAGUUGAGGUAGGCGGAAUUCGUGGUGUAGCGGUGAAAUGCUUAGAUAUCACGAAGAACCCCGAUUGCGAAGGCAGCUUACUAAACUGUGACUGACAUUGAUGCUCGAAAGUGUGGGUAUCAAACAGGAUUAGAUACCCGUGUAGUC